AACCUUGUCCUGACGCAAACAAAGGCUCGAUCGAUCAAGAUCGGACAAGGAGGAAAGCCUCCUCAACGGCUCCUCUACACUCUCACGACCCCAUCAAGAGCAGAGGGAAGAUCCUCACUUGAACACAUAAGAAAAGGAGAGAUGAAAAGAGAAAGCGACGAACUACACCAGUGAUAAGUAAAAAAUGAACUACAUCAAGGCACAAGGGACCUCAUUUCAACGAGGAAGAAAACCCUUGUCGAAAAUCUCCAGUCCCUAAGGGCGAAUUGACACAGCGAUGACUAGAAACCUUCAAACAACAUCGACGUCGAACAAGAUGAAAGACAAAAGAAGUUCGGUAAAUGACAACUCAAUACCAAAAUGAAUAAGGUAAUGGAAAAUUUUCUUUUUAUUUCACUAGUGA
This 403-nucleotide long non-coding RNA is filed under the name Elaeis guineensis (African oil palm). RNAcentral describes it as "long non-coding RNA (EGUI_LNC043457)". The record is from RNAcentral. Lineage: Eukaryota; Viridiplantae; Streptophyta; Magnoliopsida; Arecales; Arecaceae.